AACGAACGCUGGCGGCGUGCCUAACACAUGCAAGUCGUACGGGAAAGUGGGCUUCGGCCCGCGAGUAGAGUGGCAGACGGGUGAGUAACACGUGGGUAACCUACCCGGAGGUGGGGAUAACCUUCCGAAGGAGGGCUAAUACCGCAUGACAUCUCAGGGGCCGUCGGCCCCGGACGAGCAAAGACUAGCCUCUACAUGUAAGCUAGCGCCACCGGA
This 216-nucleotide ribosomal RNA is filed under the name uncultured bacterium. RNAcentral's name for it is "partial 16S ribosomal RNA". It matches the Rfam family "Bacterial small subunit ribosomal RNA", at positions 29 to 225 of the family's 1533-position model. The record is from RNAcentral.